CGAGCAGGCGCGGCGGGCGCUGUCCCAGCCCGCUUCCGCAAAUGCGACCCUGUCGCAAGGGCGGCCGGGGAGAGACGGGUACGGUCUGGGAGAGCGUCGCAGAGGGACUACAUGGCCCGGCGGAUGGAUCCUAUGCGCUCGCAACUGGUGCCACGUCUGAUAGGCGCCCGCCGGUACCCGCCCUCGGCGCGGUGGUUCCGUUAACGCGGCGUUCCGUCGGGUGCUGUGACCUGACCGCGGGGUCUUCGGCUCUCUAAGGGCUGCACGGCGCUGGUGCCACCGCGAAGGAGAGUCAGACCAAGGUCCAGCCCGGGCCUGGGCCUGGUUACCGCAGCCCCCGGGGUACGCGAGAUUCUGGUGAGCCGGGGCGGCACGAGGGCUCCCGGUGAGCUGCCGGCAGAGGGGCCGGGGACAAGCGAGCCUCGUGGCAGGCACGGAUGAGCUCCCUCGGGCGGUCGGGAGUCACGCGCUGGGCUGGAUCCAUGGCAAACAGAUGAGCCCUGUGCAGAGGGGAGGAACACUCUGUGCUCCCAGGUCAGGGAAACAUGUCCCGUCGGAAACAGACCACUCCUAACAAAGUUCACUUGAACAUUGCUUUCUUCUCUGCAAUACAAAUGAUUGUAUCUCCAGUCUUGGUUUCGGAGGAAGCUGUCUGACAAACACGCUACCAGGGGGCAGGAGGUUAUAGCAUCAGGUAUGCCAUGGAGUGGAAUUCUGGGACCUGUUCAUCUCCUUUACAUGCAGUAUGUUGCUACAGAGCAACUUUUCAGCAGGAGCCAUCGAGAGCAGCAAGUAGGACCACAAGAAAAUAAGGGGACCGAGAGAUACCAGAAACUUGUCAGUGGUGAUGUCUUCACCUUGGGAUGGAAAAUCUUGUCUAUCUUAUGAUGAACACCACGAAAUCGUUGGGACUUCUCUGUCUACCUAGCCUGCUGUGUGUCUGGAGGGCCCAGAAAUGCCGUGCAGUGCCCUGACGAGGAUAAUCGGAGAAAACACCGGCUCCAAGAACGGGGUGAGCCAGCAGAAUGAGGAGUCAGGCUGAGACAUAGCAGACACGUUACUGGGACUUCUUCACAGGGACUGCAGUGGUUGGGAGGAGAGGAAUGAAAGGGACAGCAGGUAUGCAGCUUUUUACGCAGUUGCCUGCAGCUGGGGUCUGAUUUGGCAGGCUAUGGGGCUGGGGAACUGUCUUUUGGAUUUGCAUAAAUACGACUGUGCAUAUAUGACUGGACAGAUUUGAUGGGAGGAUGGUGCCUUCUUCCUUGCAUGGCCACUCCGUCUUUUCUUUCUUCUUGGACUGACUAGGGCGAGUGACAGCUGCUGAUCUCCUUUCCUUGGCUUGCUUGGUGUCUCUUCUUUCCAGGAUUACUUUCCAGGCUUGGCAUGGCCCUCAUUUCACCUUGCUCUCACGGCAACAUGGUUUGCUAUCCUCCCUUAGGACAGAAUCACUUUGCUUGGCAAGCAGAGCAACCAGCUAGGAGAUUGUAUGGUUACAAAUCAAAACAGUUUUAAACAGAAGUUGAUAUGUAAGGAAAUUCAAAAUAAUACUGAAACGAUGAUAAAAAUUGUGGUAAAAUUUAUCACAAAAGUCUUUCUGUGCAUGAUGGCCAGUCCCACAGUUUUAAUUGUAGACCUUUCCCCUGCAGAACAUAAAUAGCUCUUAAGAAUAAAAUUUUAUAUUUGCCACAUGGUGCAUGAAAAACACACCUGACAAAGUGCUAACAAACAGAGCAGUAAUAGUGGAAUAUACUGGUUGAAAAAUAAAAUGCAGUUAGGUGUGAUGAUAACUUAAUUGAUUCAAUUUGGUCUUUAUUUCCUCCCAGAGUAUGCAGUAGAAAAGUAUAAAAACUCUAAGCAGUUCAUCUGUUCUUGCAUUCAUCUGUUACUGCGCUGUCACCCCAUCAGUCAUGGACCACUUGCUGUCUUUGUGCUUGCCAAAAUUUGUUGCAGUAACCACUACAGCAGUGUGGACAACCCAGAAUAGCCAUUGGGCAGGUGGAAUAGAUCCACAGUGGUGGAAAGACUUGCAAAUUUCAGGUCCAGGAAUACAGAGAAGACCUACAUGAACAGGGACUUUUAAUUGAUGUACAAGGAGGGAAUAAACUGACUUAUCUCUGAGAUAACUUUCUGUUUAGGAAGGAAGGCAGGAGAAUGAUCCCUUUGGAUUUUAUUUUGUGGAUUUGGGGGUGGGAGUUGUUUGUUUCUGUGUUUAUUUUCCAGAACACCUGAGAGUUACCCUGCAUUCAUACAGUUCAAGAAGGGAAGUACUCAGGGCUGAUACCCCAGCAGACCCUAGCAGUCAUGCCAUGUCCAUGUUACACAGUACCACAGGGCUGUCCCCUACCCCCACCACUGCUCACUUGGCAUCCCACUCAUUCACAGCAGUAUGGAGAGGAGAAUGGAAUACAAAGCAGAGGCAUUUGUAUGAUCUCUCUUGUCCUACGUCAAUAGCUGUUUGUAAACAACUACAGUGAUUUGUUUUGGUGUUAUGGUCAGCCUGCAGCCCUUCUUGUAUUUAAUAAAGAAACUUCUGGAGAAGAGUCUGUGAAUUCA
RNA transcript from Hirundo rustica (Barn swallow), 2553 nucleotides. It is a transcript of the gene named zinc finger protein 821, with no coding region annotated. The record is from RefSeq and is a predicted model, not a curated record. NCBI's taxonomy places the organism in Eukaryota, Metazoa, Chordata, Aves, Passeriformes, Hirundinidae. The transcript has 5 exons.